UGCAGUCGAGCGGUAGCACAAGAGAGCUUGCUCUCUGGGUGACGAGCGGCGGACGGGUGAGUAAUGUCUGGGAAACUGCCUGAUGGAGGGGGAUAACUACUGGAAACGGUAGCUAAUACCGCAUAACGUCGCAAGACCAAAGAGGGGGACCUUCGGGCCUCUUGCCAUCAGAUGUGCCCAGAUGGGAUUAGCUAGUAGGUGGGGUAAUGGCUCACCUAGGCGACGAUCCCUAGCUGGUCUGAGAGGAUGACCAGCCACACUGGAACUGAGACACGGUCCAGACUCCUACGGGAGGCAGCAGUGGGGAAUAUUGCACAAUGGGCGCAAGCCUGAUGCAGCCAUGCCGCGUGUGUGAAGAAGGCCUUCGGGUUGUAAAGCACUUUCAGCGAGGAGGAAGGUGGUGAACUUAAUACGUUCAUCAAUUGACGUUACUCGCAGAAGAAGCACCGGCUAACUCCGUGCCAGCAGCCGCGGUAAUACGGAGGGUGCAAGCGUUAAUCGGAAUUACUGGGCGUAAAGCGCACGCAGGCGGUUUGUUAAGUCAGAUGUGAAAUCCCCGGGCUCAACCUGGGAA
RNAcentral lists this ribosomal RNA (574 nucleotides) under Serratia marcescens. Its description in RNAcentral is "bacterial SSU rRNA". It matches the Rfam family "Bacterial small subunit ribosomal RNA", at positions 56 to 620 of the family's 1533-position model. The record is from RNAcentral. Lineage: Bacteria; Pseudomonadati; Pseudomonadota; Gammaproteobacteria; Enterobacterales; Yersiniaceae.